CUUAGCAAGGUUGUACGACAAGGUAGUUAUCACGCAAUAGGUGUGGAUAAAACGGCCGUUAUCGUCGGUUUUAUCAUCCAUACUAUGGUUGCAGACGAUAUAUGGAGUUAUCCACAUUUGACAGCGGUAGAUGAUAGAAGACAAUUUGCAUAACAUGGUCGUUGGAUAAGAUGUGGAUAAUUUGACAGAUUGUCCCAUUUUGACAGUUCAACUUAGUUAAUUUUAACUACGUGCUUCUUAGAUGACGAUAAGCCUUGUCGUGAAAGCAAAAGUAGUGAAUAAUCAUAUUUUAAGGUAUAAAUUACAGGUAAAUAUCAGUUUUUCUAUGAUUAUAUUGAGAGUUAUUAGUUACAAUGUUCCGCUGUAUAUAAUAUUGUCAAUAUUUUCUUCGCAGGGAAGUCAAAUUUUAUUAUUCCUACUCGCGGCUGCUGUUGAAGAAAAAUAUCGUAAACAGCUUUAAGAAACACUUGCAGCCCAUUUGAUAUGACGGACGAAGAGUUUCGGCAUAUUUACAGAGUGCGUAAGGAGUGUGCAGUGCAUUUACUUAUGUGCCGAAUUUAACGCCGAGCUUCAAAACGGUGAUGGGUUACCUACCAAAACAUCUCAAAGGUUCUAACAGUAUACACCACACCAGCAGCACACCUACACCAGCAGCAGCAGCAGCAGCUGCUGGUGUGUAACAGUUACACCUGCUAGCUGAUGGCAAUUAACUACCAACGUGGGACUAGUCAAGAUCAUGGCUUGUCCAUUGGAGCACUACUGACUGGAUUGGCCACACUACUGUAAGCCUGAACCUCGAGCAGUUUGUAGAUGCUGUAAACAGAAGAAAACUUCUCGUGGAUCAAGGGAAAAAUUAGAGAAGACGCUCCUAAAAAACUUCCUAAGCAUGCAAGCAUGCACAAAACCGGCUCUUAAUAAGCUUAAUAAAUACAUAUUUCGCCUAUUACUAUGUUUUACUAUCACACAAAUACCUACCUAAUUUACCUAUAUUUCUAUACAAGUAGAGACUAG
Molecule: long non-coding RNA, 1011 nt
Organism: Cydia splendana
Lineage: Eukaryota; Metazoa; Arthropoda; Insecta; Lepidoptera; Tortricidae
Exons: 3
Source: RefSeq, a predicted model, not a curated record